UACGUAGGCAGCGAGCGUUGUUCGGAGUUACUGGGCGUAAAGGGUGUGUAGGCGGUUGUUUAAGUUUGGUGUGAAAUCUCCCGGCUCAACUGGGAGGGUGCGCCGAAUACUGAAUGACUAGAGUGUGGGAGAGGUGAGUGGAAUUCCUGGUGUAGCGGUGAAAUGCGUAGAUAUCAGGAGGAGCACCGGUGGUGUAGACGGCUCACUGGACCAUAACUGACGCUGAGACACGAAAGCGUGGGUAGCAAACAGG
This 253-nucleotide ribosomal RNA is filed under the name uncultured bacterium. Its description in RNAcentral is "partial 16S ribosomal RNA". It matches the Rfam family "Bacterial small subunit ribosomal RNA", at positions 524 to 776 of the family's 1533-position model. The record is from RNAcentral.